This 497-nucleotide ribosomal RNA is filed under the name uncultured soil bacterium. RNAcentral describes it as "bacterial SSU rRNA". It matches the Rfam family "Bacterial small subunit ribosomal RNA", at positions 26 to 517 of the family's 1533-position model. The record is from RNAcentral.
AGACUGAACGCUGGCGGCAGGCCUAACACAUGCAAGUCGAGCGGUAGAGAGGUGCUUGCAUCUCUUGAGAGCGGCGGACGGGUGAGUAAUGCCUAGGAAUCUGCCUAGUGGUGGGGGAUAACGUUCGGAAACGGACGCUAAUACCGCAUACGUCCUACGGGAGAAAGCGGGGGACCUUCGGGCCUCGCGCCAUUAGAUGAGCCUAGGUCGGAUUAGCUAGUUGGUGAGGUAAUGGCUCACCAAGGCGACGAUCCGUAACUGGUCUGAGAGGAUGAUCAGUCACACUGGAACUGAGACACGGUCCAGACUCCGUACGGGAGGCAGCAGUGGGAAUAUUGGACAAUGGGCGAAAGCCUGAUCCAGCCAUGCCGCGUGUGUAGAAGAAGGUCUUCGGAUUGUAAAGCACUUUAAGUGGAGGAAGGUUAGUAACCUAAUACGUGCUAACGUUUGACGUUACGACAGAAUAAGCGACCGCUAACUUCGUGACCAGCACGCCG